UACGGGGGGGGCAAGCGUUGUUCGGAAUUACUGGGCGUAAAGGGCUCGUAGGCGGCCAACUCAGUCGAACGUGAAAUCCCCGGGCUCAACCCGGGAACUGCGUCCGAUACUGGUGGGCUUGAAUCCGGGAGAGGGAUGCGGAAUUCCAGGUGUAGCGGUGAAAUGCGUAGAUAUCUGGAGGAACACCGGUGGCGAAGGCGGCAUCCUGGACCGGCAUUGACGCUGAGGCGCGAAAGCCAGGGGAGCAAACGGG
RNAcentral lists this ribosomal RNA (253 nucleotides) under uncultured bacterium. Its description in RNAcentral is "partial 16S ribosomal RNA". It matches the Rfam family "Bacterial small subunit ribosomal RNA", at positions 524 to 776 of the family's 1533-position model. The record is from RNAcentral.